AUUGAACGCUGCGGCAGGCCUAACACAUGCAAGUCGAGCGGUAGAGAGAAGCUUGCUUCUCUUGAGAGCGGCGGACGGGUGAGUAAUGCCUAGGAAUCUGCCUGGUAGUGGGGGAUAACGUUCGGAAACGGACGCUAAUACCGCAUACGUCCUACGGGAGAAAGCAGGGGACCUUCGGGCCUUGCGCUAUCAGAUGAGCCUAGGUCGGAUUAGCUAGUUGGUGGGGUAAUGGCUCACCAAGGCGACGAUCCGUAACUGGUCUGAGAGGAUGAUCAGUCACACUGGAACUGAGACACGGUCCAGACUCCUACGGGAGGCAGCAGUGGGGAAUAUUGGACAAUGGGCGAAAGCCUGAUCCAGCCAUGCCGCGUGUGUGAAGAAGGUCUUCGGAUUGUAAAGCACUUUAAGUUGGGAGGAAGGGCAGUUACCUAAUACGUAAUUGUUUUGACGUUACCGACAGAAUAAGCACCGGCUAA
This 476-nucleotide ribosomal RNA is filed under the name Pseudomonas fluorescens. RNAcentral's name for it is "bacterial SSU rRNA". It matches the Rfam family "Bacterial small subunit ribosomal RNA", at positions 30 to 500 of the family's 1533-position model. The record is from RNAcentral. Lineage: Bacteria; Pseudomonadati; Pseudomonadota; Gammaproteobacteria; Pseudomonadales; Pseudomonadaceae.